This 108-nucleotide small nucleolar RNA is filed under the name Vitis vinifera (wine grape). RNAcentral's name for it is "Plant small nucleolar RNA R71". It matches the Rfam family "Plant small nucleolar RNA R71". Rfam says of the family: R71 is a member of the C/D box family of snoRNAs containing the C (UGAUGA) and D (CUGA) box motifs. The record is from Rfam by way of RNAcentral. Lineage: Eukaryota; Viridiplantae; Streptophyta; Magnoliopsida; Vitales; Vitaceae.
AAGCCAUGGUGAGGACAAGCAUUGAUAUCUUCCAUGUAUCUUUCCCAACACUCAUAAAAUUUCUCAUUCUCUUUAGAUGAGAAGUUUGAAAUUUUUCUUUUUAAGUCG